GAUGAACGCUGGCGGCGUGCUUAACACAUGCAAGUCGAACGGUGAACCCGGAGCUUGCUCUGUGGGAUCAGUGGCGAACGGGUGAGUAACACGUGAGCAACCUGCCCCUGACUCUGGGAUAAGCGCUGGAAACGGCGUCUAAUACUGGAUAUGUGACGUGACCGCAUGGUCUGCGUUUGGAAAGAUUUUUCGGUUGGGGAUGGGCUCGCGGCCUAUCAGCUUGUUGGUGAGGUAAUGGCUCAUCAAGGCGUCGACGGGUAGCCGGCCUGAGAGGGUGACCGGCCACACUGGGAUUGAGACACGGCCCAGACUCCUACGGGAGGCAGCAGUGGGGAAUAUUGCACAAUGGGCGAAAGCCUGAUGCAGCAACGCCGCGUGAGGGAUGACGGCCUUCGGGUUGUAAACCGUUUUUAGCAGGGAAGAAGCGAAAGUGACGGUACCUGCAGAAAAAGCGCCGGCUAACUACGUG
Molecule: ribosomal RNA, 469 nt
Filed under: uncultured bacterium
Lineage: Bacteria
Description: partial 16S ribosomal RNA
Rfam family: Bacterial small subunit ribosomal RNA
Source: RNAcentral